This 449-nucleotide ribosomal RNA is filed under the name uncultured bacterium. RNAcentral's name for it is "bacterial SSU rRNA". It matches the Rfam family "Bacterial small subunit ribosomal RNA", at positions 354 to 796 of the family's 1533-position model. The record is from RNAcentral.
GUCGAGAAUUUUUCACAAUGGGCGCAAGCCUGAUGGAGCGACGCCGCGUGGGGGAUGAAUGGCUUCGGCCCGUAAACCCCUGUCAUUUGCGAUCAACCCUCAUUAUUUAAAAGAUGAUGAGCUGAUGGUAGCGAAAGAGGAAGGGACGGCUAACUCUGUGCCAGCAGCCGCGGUAAUACAGAGGUCCCAAGCGUUGUUCGGAUUCACUGGGCGUAAAGGGUGCGUAGGUGGUGGGGUAAGUCGGAUGUGAAAUCUCGGAGCUUAACUCCGAAAAGGCAUUGGAAACUGCCCUGCUAGAGGUUCGGAGGGGGGACUGGAAUUCUCGGUGUAGCAGUGAAAUGCGUAGAUAUCGAGAGGAACACCAGUGGCGAAGGCGAGUCCCUGGACGACACCUGACACUGAGGCACGAAAGCUAGGGUAGCAAACAGGAUUAGAAACCCCUGUAGUCC